AGUGAACGCUGGCGGUAGGCCUAACACAUGCAAGUCGAACGGCAGCACAGUAAGAGCUUGCUCUUACGGGUGGCGAGUGGCGGACGGGUGAGGAAUACAUCGGAAUCUACUUUUUCGUGGGGGAUAACGUAGGGAAACUUACGCUACUACCGCAUACGACCUACGGGUGAAAGCAGGGGAUCUUCGGACCUUGCGCGAGUGAAUGAGCCGAUGUCGGAUUAGCUAGUUGGCGGGGUAAAGGCCCACCAAGGCGACGCUCCGUAGCUGGUCUGAGAGGAUGACCAGCCACACUGGACCUGAGACACGGUCCAGACUCCUACGGGAGGCAGCAGUUGGGAAUAUUGGACAAUGGGCGCAAGCCUGAUCCAGCCAUACCGCGUGGGUGAAGAAGGCCUUCGGGUUGUAAAGCCCUUUUGUUGGGAAAGAAAAGCAGCAGGUUAAUACCCCGCUGUUCUGACGGUACCCAAAGAAUAAGCACCGGCUAACUUCGUG
This 492-nucleotide ribosomal RNA is filed under the name uncultured bacterium. Its description in RNAcentral is "partial 16S ribosomal RNA". It matches the Rfam family "Bacterial small subunit ribosomal RNA", at positions 29 to 507 of the family's 1533-position model. The record is from RNAcentral.